RNAcentral lists this unclassified non-coding RNA (331 nucleotides) under soil metagenome. RNAcentral's name for it is "partial contains 5.8S ribosomal RNA, internal transcribed spacer 2, and large subunit ribosomal RNA". The stretch from base 1 to 120 matches the Rfam family "5.8S ribosomal RNA", at positions 35 to 154 of the family's 154-position model. The record is from RNAcentral.
GAUGAAGAACGUAGCGAAAUGCGAUAAGUAAUGUGAAUUGCAGAAUUCAGUGAAUCAUCGAAUCUUUGAACGCACAUUGCGCCCCCUGGUAUUCCGGGGGGCAUGCCUGUUCGAGCGUCAUUUCACCACUCAAGCCUCGCUUGGUAUUGGGCAACGCGGUCCGCUGCGUGCCUCAAAUCGACCGGCUGGGUCUUCUGUCCCCUAAGCGUUGUGGAAACUAUUCGCUAAAGGGUGUUCGGGAGGCUACGCCGUAAAACAACCCCAUUUCUAAGGUUGACCUCGGAUCAGGUAGGGAUACCCGCUGAACUUAAGCAUAUCAAUAAGCGGAGGA